RNAcentral lists this ribosomal RNA (253 nucleotides) under uncultured bacterium. Its description in RNAcentral is "partial 16S ribosomal RNA". It matches the Rfam family "Bacterial small subunit ribosomal RNA", at positions 524 to 776 of the family's 1533-position model. The record is from RNAcentral.
UACGGGGGGGGUAAGCGUUGUUCGGAAUUACUGGGCGUAAAGGGCUCGUAGGCGGCCAACUAAGUCAUACGUGAAAUCCCUCAGCUUAACCGGGGAACUGCGUCUGAUACUGGAUGGCUUGAAUCCGGGAGAGGGAUGCGGAAUUCCAGGUGUAGCGGUGAAAUACGUAGAGAUUGGGAAGAACACCAGUGGCGAAGGCGGCUAUCUGGACGGUUUCUGACACUAAGACUCGAAAGCGUGGGGAGCAAACAGG